GGAGCUGUGGCUCAGUGGUAGAGCGCUUUCCUGCUGCAGGUGAGGCCAUGGGUUCAAUCCUCAGCACCA
Molecule: transfer RNA, 69 nt
Filed under: Ictidomys tridecemlineatus (thirteen-lined ground squirrel)
Lineage: Eukaryota; Metazoa; Chordata; Mammalia; Rodentia; Sciuridae
Description: Spermophilus tridecemlineatus (thirteen-lined ground squirrel) tRNA
Rfam family: tRNA
About the family: Transfer RNA (tRNA) molecules are approximately 80 nucleotides in length. Their secondary structure includes four short double-helical elements and three loops (D, anti-codon, and T loops). Further hydrogen bonds mediate the characteristic L-shaped molecular structure. tRNAs have two regions of fundamental functional importance: the anti-codon, which is responsible for specific mRNA codon recognition, and the 3' end, to which the tRNAs corresponding amino acid is attached (by aminoacyl-tRNA synthetases). tRNAs cope with the degeneracy of the genetic code in two manners: having more than one tRNA (with a specific anti-codon) for a particular amino acid; and 'wobble' base-pairing, i.e. permitting non-standard base-pairing at the 3rd anti-codon position.
Source: Rfam by way of RNAcentral